Molecule: long non-coding RNA, 1801 nt
Filed under: Citrus sinensis (sweet orange)
Lineage: Eukaryota; Viridiplantae; Streptophyta; Magnoliopsida; Sapindales; Rutaceae
Description: long non-coding RNA (CSIN_LNC002732)
Source: RNAcentral
UAUAAUCUUUUGUCAGCUAGUAAGUUAACAAAAGAUAUGAAUUGUGUUGUGACUUUUUUCUCCUCUCACUGUGAAUUUCAGGAUCGUUCUUCGGGGAAGAUGAUUGGCAUUGCUGAGAAAAAAGAUGGCCUAUACUACUUCUCGGGAGUUGGGGAUUCCAGUAGAGUUAAGUCACAAAAUAAAAUGUCCAUGUCAGUUGUUUCCAACUCUGAAAUUAUGUUAUGGCAUCAACGCUUAGGGCAUCCAAGCUUUUCUUAUAUGAAAGUUUUGUAUCCAAAUCUUUUCGUCAAUAAAGAAAAUUUUUCGUUUCAAUGCGAACAUUGUGUCCUUUCUAAACAAUCCAGAGUCAAUUAUCCGCCACAUAUAUACAAACCCUCAAGACCUUUUCAGUUGAUUCAUAGUGAUGUAUGGGGUCCAUCCAGAACAAUCAAUUUAACUAGAACUCAAUGGUUUGUCACUUUCAUAGAUGACCAUAGAUACUCCUUCCUUAGAAGCACGAGGCUCGGCUCGUAGCAAACAAACAAGAUGAUGGCCAUGUAUCUCAGUCGAGAGACAAGGUCUAGUGUGAUUAUUGUAAGAAAGGUCUAGUGUGAUUAUUGUAAGAAGCCCUAUCACACUCGUGAAACUUGUUGGGACUUACAUGGCAAGCCACCUGAUUGGAAACUGAAGAAGCAACGCAAGCGAACCAAAUCAGCCAAUAUAGUGGAAUCAGAUUCAAGCAAAGUUGCUGGAUUUAACUUCUCAACAGAGCAAGUGGAGAUUCUACGGCAGCUUCUCAAUCAAACUAAGGUGUCAACGGGAUCCGAGAGUCAAAACUCAAAGAUUCCUACUGCAGCUAUGGCACAAACAGGUAAAAUAAGUCAAACUUUCCUGUCAAAGUCACAGCCAGCAGGCUAUUGGAUUGUAGAUACAGGGGCCUCUGACCAUAUGACUGGGUCAAUGAAUGUCCUUGAGGAUUAUGACAAGUGCAAUAGCAGGAUAAAUGUGUGGGUUGCGGAUGGAAAAAUGUCACCUGCAGUUGGGAAGGGCACGGUUUGCUUACCGAAUAUGAUAUUGAAAUCAGUUUUAUAUGUGCCCAAAUUGACAUAUAAUCUUUUGUCAGUUAGUAAGUUAACAAAAGAUAUGAAUUGUGUUGUGACUUUUUUCUCCUCUCACUGUGAAUUUCAGGAUCGUUCUUCGGGGAAGAUGAUUGGCAUUGCUGAGAAAAAAGAUGGCCUAUACUACUUCUCGGGAGUUGGGGAUUCUAGUAGAGUUAAGUCACAAAAUAAAAUGUCCAUGCCAGUUGUUUCCAACUCUGAUAUUAUGUUAUGGCAUCAACGCUUAGGGCAUCCGAGCUUUUCUUAUAUGAAAGUUUUGUAUCCAAAUCUUUUCGUCAAUAAAUAAAAUUUUUCGUUUCAAUGCGAACAUUGUGGCCUUUCUAAACAAUCCAGAGUCAAUUAUCCGCCACAUAUAUACAAACCCUCAAGACCUUUUCAGUUGAUUCAUAGUGAUGUAUGGGGUCCAUCCAGAACAAUCAAUUUAACUAGAACUCAAUGGUUUGUCACUUUCAUAGAUGACCAUACUAGGGUGUGUUGGGUGUACUUGAUGAAAGAUAAAUCUGAGGCAUUUUACUGGUUUCAACAGUUCCACAAAUUUGUCCAAAAUGUUUUUCAAUCCAAUAUAAAUGUCCUUAGAACAGAUAAUGGAAGGGAGUAUUUCUCAAAUGAAUUUAACCAAUAUUUGGGGAAUAAUGGGAUACACCAUCAAAGUUCUUGUGUUAACACACCAAAACAAAAUGGGGUUGCCGAAAGAAAGAAUCGAC